Molecule: non-coding RNA, 70 nt
Organism: Tachyglossus aculeatus (Australian echidna)
Lineage: Eukaryota; Metazoa; Chordata; Mammalia; Monotremata; Tachyglossidae
Source: the annotation of a RefSeq genome assembly
GCCCGGAUAGCUCAGUCGGUAGAGCAUCAGACUUUUAUUCAAGUCCAGGGUUCGAGUCCCUGUUUGGGCG